UAGAGUUUGAUCAUGGCUCAGGAUGAACGCUAGCGGCAGGCCUAACACAUGCAAGUCGAGGGGUAACAGAGAAGCUUGCUUCUGCUGACGACCGGCGCACGGGUGCGUAACGCGUAUGCAACCUACCUCAUACUGGAGAAUAGCCCUUGGAAACGAGGAUUAAUACUCCAUAGUAUCAUUCUUUCGCAUGUUAGAAUGAUUAAAGAAUUUCGGUAUGAGAUGGGCAUGCGUCCCAUUAGCUAGUUGGUGAGGUAACGGCUCACCAAGGCGACGAUGGGUAGGGGGCCUGAGAGGGUGGUCCCCCACACUGGUACUGAGACACGGACCAGACUCCUACGGGAGGCAGCAGUGAGGAAUAUUGGUCAAUGGAGGCAACUCUGAACCAGCCAUGCCGCGUGAAGGAUGACGGCCCUAUGGGUUGUAAACUUCUUUUAUAUGGGAAGAAACUUAUCUACGUGUAGAUAACUGACGGUACCAUACGAAUAAGGAUCGGCUAACUCCGUGCCAGCAGCCGCGGUAAUACGGAGGAUCCAAGCGUUAUCCGGAUUCAUUGGGUUUAAAGGGUCCGUAGGCGGAUUUUUAAGUCAGUGGUGAAAGCCGGCAGCUU
Molecule: ribosomal RNA, 607 nt
Filed under: uncultured bacterium
Lineage: Bacteria
Description: bacterial SSU rRNA
Rfam family: Bacterial small subunit ribosomal RNA
Source: RNAcentral